UAUACUUAAACCUUAUAAUAAGUCGCUGGUCUGAAUUAUAUACCUAUAGGGGUGAAGUGAAUUAUAGGUAGGAUAUAUAAUUAAUUUAAGAGAGAUGCUUUAUAGUGCCCCUUGGAAGCUUUGUAUUAUAUAUCGAACUAUAAGAGAGAGAGAGAGAGAGAGAGAGAGAGAGAGAGAGAGAGAGAGAGAGAGAGAGAGAGAGAGA
Molecule: long non-coding RNA, 205 nt
Organism: Homarus americanus (American lobster)
Lineage: Eukaryota; Metazoa; Arthropoda; Malacostraca; Decapoda; Nephropidae
Exons: 2
Source: RefSeq, a predicted model, not a curated record